GGGCUAGAAGCUGGUAAAUAUAGAGAGGACAGCACAAAGGAAAGCAAUAAGCCUCUGUGGGGAGGGGAUCAUGGAGAGCGAAAGAAGGGGGUGGAAUUUAAUAGGUUUGUGUGUAGCCUGUGUUAAUCUAGUUUUGGGGAGCAUAUAAAUAGAUACUGUCACAUUUUAGGAAGCCUUCUCUUCUGUGGUAAGAGGCCCGUGAGAACCUACAGAAGAAGUAAUUAUGAAGGCUAGUUUAGCAUAUUCUGAUACUUCUCUCUAAAUAAUAGAUUGCACCGACUGACUGGAACAAUUCCACCCACCCACUUGGGUGCUCUCUGAGUGGUGCUUGUGUCUAUUGCCAAUUACCCGACAAGUGAAAUCUUUCCCCAAUCCCACAGGUAGUAAAAUAUACCGCUUUAAGCAUUGCCUCCCUCCCCGUGUAGAGAACCUGUUGUCAUUUAUGCCAUUAGGUGCCCACAUAGCUAACUAUGCAUGGGAGGAAAGAAGCAGGCCUCUCAGGAAAAGGAUCUGAGGGGAAGGGCACGGCACAGCACCCUGAUGAGCAAGAAGAGCUUCGUCAUCACUUAAAAGGUUUUUCUUUUUCUUUUAUAGAAAUGCAAAGGCACUGGAUUGAACUUGGGUGCAGCGGAAAUGUUAAAUAAGGAGAGUUAGCCAUAGCUAUUCAGAAGAGAAGGCUGGGUUUCAAAUGCUUCGUGCAGUUGUUCUGUUUAUUUUUCUUGCUUGUGGAAUACUUCCCCCCUCAUUUUUAGCACUAGAAACCCCACAAAAACCUCAGUUCUUUCUUUCCGUGUGAAAGGAUAGGCAACCACUAGGCCACAUGCACAGUUCGGCCUAGUUCUGUCUUGCUUUUGAGGAGAAAGCGGGAGCCUUGCCUGCUUACCAAAGCGUUCACAGUAAAUAUAAACACAUUUGUGGCAUUUCUGUCCAUUAGUGUUAAGUCUUUGAACUAUAACAUACUGGGGGGGGGGGGUGUUGGUUGGUUGGGGGUUGAAGAAAGGCACUCCAGAGAGCCUCAGGGUUGUUUUCCAGUCAGUAUCCUGAAUAAUCAGUGUCUGCCUGCCUUGCACAUUUCCUUAAUAAACCCACCCGUUUCUUUAUUCCACUCUGCUUUCUCCAUUCCCUAUGAAUUGCGCUCCCAGCCAAUACAAGAACUGCGGAGAUCUUUGUAAGAGGCACUGGCAACUGAGCGCCUAACUAACUCAGACAAUCCCCUUUCUUCACACAGAUUCAGCUGCUGAUGGUUGCCUUCAGCUUAAAGGCUGCAAUUCUGUGCACACCUGCUUCCCAACCCUAUGUGCAUUUCCUUAGAAGUAUGUUUCAUUUUGACACGGGGACAAAUAAAAGAUGCCUUCACCUUGGUAUGGUUCUUCUUUUGUAACAUACACAGCCCAACAUGACAACAAGAAGAAUCCACCAACAUCAUACGGAUCAAUCUGGCUAACCUGAUCCAAAAACACACACACAAAACCAAAUUUCACUACAGCCAAUCAAAGACAACCAGCGGCGUAGCGUGGGUUGUCAGCACCCGGGGCAAGGCAAGUAAUUUGCGCCCCCUAACCCGGGGCAAGGCAAGUAAUUUGCGCCCCCUAACCCCUAACCUGCCGCCGCUGCCAGCUUCUUCUUGCUGCUGCCUGGGCUGGUCUGGUGUGGUUCUCUCCUGCGCUCAGCACUGCGCUGGGCGGCCGCUGCACUGUCCCUCCCCCAGAUAGUCCCUCGCUUUCUCUCCGCACCGCACGCCUGGCACCCACCCCCUCCACAGUGGGCGGCCACCCAGCGGCUCAGAUCGGAUUCGCACAGCCAGCACUGCAGUGAGAGAGAGUGAGUGAGCCAGGUAGGGGCAGAGAGCUGCGAGUGCGAGCGCGCCCCCCCAGAUGUUGCGCCCGGUGCGGCCGGCCCCCUGCACCCCCCACGCUACGCCACUGAAGUCAACCAACCACACCCUAGGCCACCCCCAACCUCUCUCGCCACCAAAGAAAUAAAACAAGCAAAUAGUAAGAGAACCCACACAAGUGACACUGACACAAAACCCCACACAUACACUAAGUAGAAGAAUAGAAGCAUUGCCACCCGACUCCACCCCACUCACCAUUUCCCCUCCACCGCUUUCCCCCUUUUCUUUCUAACCUAACACUGUAUGUAACACUAAUGUAUCACAACAAAUGAAAUUGAUCUGUAGAAAAAGCAAAUUGAAAAAAGAGACAAUGCACAUAUUUUUUGUAAACUAAGAAAUAUUUAAUAAAAAAAAAUUAAAGGAGUAUGUUUCACUGAGUUAAACAGGUCUUGCUCUCCAGGAAGUGUGCAUUGCUUUGCAGCUUUGUUUUUGGAAGACCUGUUAUUUCAGAGGGACUUACUCCUGGGUAAACUUGCACAUGAUACAGCUGUAAUUUAUACUACCUGAGGAACUGGUUCAAUUUUCCUCUCAGUCUGCAGCUCCUGUUAAAUUUAUUUAGUCAGUUCCAAAUACUGGAUUUCAUAGAUCCAUUAAUUUCCCUUCCCAGUAGCUUAGACUUUAUCUGAAAUGGAUGCAAAUGUUGACAUUAUAGAGAAUUCAAUAGCAGUCCAAUAAAGGGAGAAAACAUGGCGCUAGUGCAAAGGCUAAGGUUUUCUAAGGCAGUAUAGUAAAACAAAAGAACUUCAGCUGAUCGCUUGGAUAACACAGCUAAGUAGAACAUCUGGCGUGGGUUCUUUCAAACCCAAGGACUAAAACCACCAUUACACUGUCUUUGUUCAGGCAUUUGGUGAACCUAUGAAUGGUGGUGAUUGACGAGGAAGGAGAUACUGGGGUUGUGAUGGAUAGGUGGUUGAAAAUGUUGACCCAGUGCACGGCUGCAGUGAAAAGGGAAAAAUCCAUAUUAGGGAUCAUUAGGAAAAGGAUUAAAUAUAAAACUGCUAAUAUCAUAAUGUCACUUUAUAAAUCUAUGGUGUAGAGCUGGAAAAGGUUCAGAAGAGGGAAAAGAAAAUGAUAAUGAGGUUGGAGGAAUUCCCCUACGCAGAAAGGUUUCAACACUUGGGGCUUUUGGUUUUAGGAAAAAGGUGAGUGAGGAACAGCAGGAUGGAGGUGUAUAAGGCUGUGCAUAAUGAAGAGAAAAAUGAGUAUGAGAGAGCCUUUUCUCCUUUUCUCAUAAUAGAAUCUGCGGCCAUCCAAAAAAGUUAAUUUUUGGAAGAUUUAGGAUAGACAAGAGCAUAGCACAUAGUUAAACUAUGGAAUUUGCUAUCAUAAGAUGUAGUGAUGUUCUUGCUUUUUGUCUUGCUUGGUUUCACAAUUUGCUUCUUCACUUUGAUUUGGGCUGGGUUGUUUCCAUUUUUGCUAUGGAAACAUAUGUUUGGUUUGCCACUAGAAGCAGCAGAUGCUGCACCAGAUGGACCUUUGGCCUCAUCUAGCAGGGAUCUUCUUGUGUUCCAAAAGUGAAGAAUUAUGAGUUGGGUCACACCUGUUGACUCUGCCUCUGCUUUCCCUGUGUUUUAGGAUCCUGUGUUCAUAGAGCCUUUCCCAUACAUCUGGGGGUGGGUGGGCUUCUGUAAGCGUGACUUGGUGCUCUCAAAAGUGGAAGUCACUGGACAGAACAUUCAGGAUACUGUGCACUUUUGGGUGCAAGACGCCAGUGGCCAAUGAAGACACUGAUUUGCACCUUGAGGAAUAAUGCUCUUGAUUAUGUUGUGGUGCAGGGUCCCCAUCUAAAUAUGUUUUAAGUAGAGGGACACACAUCAGAUAGUGUAUUGGGAAGAUUUCUGGAGAGCAUACUCAAGGCUGGUGUCCCUGUGCUGAAAAAGGUCAACUUUCUGUGUCGAGGCAACUCAAAUUCUGCAUCAAUAAAAACCUAAUGUCUGUGAUUACCCUAGUAAUGUAAGGAUUUCAAAAGGGGCAGAGGAUCUGAGUUCAUUUCCUGGCACCUUCAGUUAAAAGGGUCAGACAGCAGGUGAUGUGCAAGAAGACCUCCACCUGAGACCCCAUAGAGCUAGGGGCAGAAUAGACAAUGUCUGGCUAAAUUGACAAACAAUGAAGCCUGGCAUAAGGCAACUUCCUAUGUUUUAAUUUAGUCAUCGUCGUCGUCAUCAACAACAACAACAGUUCUGCUUCAGCUGGUUACGGGGAAGUGGCCCUUGGCCACUGUUGAUGUUAUUUAGCAGCCCUUGCCUGCUUUCUGAGAUUUUACUAGGCAUUACCACUUUCUUGUUUAUCUUUGCAGACAAGAGGACUAAAAUAAACUAGUUUUUUUCCUGCUUCUUCUUCAGUAAAAGCUGGGGCUCUUGGGAAGUUGAUUUUAUGCUUGAUACCACAUCUUGUGCUUUUGCUGCACCUGCAUAUAAUCACAGCAUGCCCAGAGUCAAGUACACUCACCAUGUUCUGAUGAAAAUCCCACACAUUUUAUUACGUAAACAGAGGGGCAUUGGCCAAGUUCCUAGAGGUAAGAAAUUUACAUUACUGAGAACCAAACAAAUAGGAAAAGCAAGAUAGCUAUGCUGUCUAUACAGUGGCACAUUUUAAGGGUGACAUGGAUGGGUGGGUGUGGCAGUGUGAUGCAGUGUGCAGUUGUGUUUGGUAUACUAGUUGUUAUGAGCUCCCUGCAUGUAAUAAGGCAAGUGGAUUUCAGCCUCAUCCGCUUCUGAAUCUGGUUGUGGCCAGGAUAAAACAAAAGAUAUGUAACAUCUUGUCAUGUCUGUCCUGAGCCUUUGAGGCCCCCAAAAGCAGGUAAAGCAGUUAAUAUGUGCUGGAAGAGAAGAGAUUUCUCAGGCAAGCCCCACCCACCAAGCCCUUUGUAAUUAUUUAAUCUCACCCUGUGGAAACCUUUUUUAUUUUUUAAAUUGAACUGUCAAUAUGCGUUGAUGCGGUAUCUGUUCUCUUGAGUACCCAGCACUGAGAGAUAUAAGAGAAAGGCUUGCACAGUUGAUUGGCUGAAGCUGAGAAGCAACAAGUGACUGCAGUUAUGCAAUGCAAGGUUAACAGCCCUGUUAUCAUGCAGAUCAAAAUUAAGAAAGGAAGGAAAGGGGAGCACAUUGUUGCAUAGAUCAUGUUAGGAACUGGGAGAAAUAAGCAGGGGGGAAACGGUGUUUCUCAUGCAUGAAUGACCUUAUGGUGUGCUUGGUAUUUCAGAGACCUGGUGGGAUCUAACGCAUGACUGGAAUACCUAUUAUUAUUAUUAUUAUUAUUAUUAUUAGUAUUUAUAUACCGCCCUAUACCUGGAGAUCUCAGGGCAGUUCACAGAAUAAAAUCAAAAUAUAAAACCACAAAAUACAUAAUCAAAAUAAAAACAACAACCAAAUAACCCCCCUCCCCCCAAAAAACCCCCACAUUUUAAAAGGGCAUAGGGUGCCAAUCAAAUCAACUAAAGGCCUGGUUAAAAAGGAACGUUUUUGCCUGGCACCUAGAGGUGUAUAAUGAAGGCACCAGGAGCACAGAGCUGUCCAUAGAAGGAGUGGCUAUCAGCUUGUUGGAUCUCUUAAAUGUCCAAGGCCAGGGAAAUGCAUGUAGCAGUAACUAUAGGAUGGGUUCAAUGGGCAUAAAGAUUCUGGAAAGAUUUGUGUUCCCGCAGUGCUGGAGCAAUUGAAGGCUCUAUGGAAUAGCUUCUCAUGCCAUGCGUAGUGAUUCCCCUUAGCCUUUAAGUGUAGAUGAACUGAGAACUACCCAUUCCACUGAGCUAAGGAAAAUGAUUAGGCAUGGACUGCCCCUUCCCCCGCACUCUAGACUUGAUCAGGGACACGGGUGGCACUGUGGUCUAAACAACUUGGGCUUGCCAAUCAGAAGGUCGGCAGCUUGAAUCCCCGCAACAGAGUGAGCUCCUGUUGCUCUGUCCCAGCUCCUGUCAACCUAGCAGUUUGAAAGCAUGCCAGUGCAGUAGAUAAAUAGGUACAGCUGUGGCAGGAAGGUAAAUGGCGUUUCCGGGAGCUCUGGUUUCCAUCAGGGUGUUCCGUUGCACCAGAAGCAGUUUAGUCAUGCUAGCCACAUGACCCGGAAAGCUGCCUGAGGACAAACGCUGGCUCCCCCAGCCUGAAAGCGAGAUGAGCGCUGCAACCCCGUAGUAGCCUUUGACUGGACUUAACCAUCCAGGGGUCCUUUACCUUUGCCUUAGUCUUGAUCAUAGGAUCACAGUGCUUUAACUAAGUGGCCAAGCAGCUUGAGAGCCACGUGUUAAAAGUAUAUUCUAUGGAAGGCAGAGUGAUUUAUUCCAUUAGCAAGUCUUCAGGGACCUGUUCAAAUGUACUUCACUGACUGGGCAUCUGUUUUCCUACCUGCAAUAUGUAGCUUAAGAUGUGCUGCUUUAAAAAAUAUCACAGGGCAUGUCCAGAAUAGAGAAUAGGAGAUUAAGAGACCGUGCAACAGUAGUUUACCUCAACUUCUGCAAAUAAAAAAAGAAUUAUUUACCAGAGCCACUUUUCAUCACUUCUUUGUUUCACUGUGUUGAAUUGCUUUACAAUCUGUGUCUCACAUACUCUCACAACAAUUAAGGAGAGAAAUGCAGUGCAAACCCAACUGUCACUUUAACAAUGCCCAGUCUCCCUAGUUUCUCCAUUACCUCCUGGUGGGUAAGUCACAUCCUUCCCCCCUAGUUCCCAAUACAGGUGCUGAGGAAAGGCAGCUGCCUCACAUGUGGCAGUCACUACCUUUUUGUAUUUGCCUCUUUCUAGAAGUCAUCCACUAGCCCCUGGCCAUUUUCCUGGCUCCAUGCACACUGGCUGGGAGAGGCUUCACUGAGAGACAGGGGGCCAUGAUUGGCUGCUGCUUUGGACCCAAGUUGCUGAAGCUAUGAGGCAAGCCAAUGAGAGACACUCCUGGGGCAUGAUGUUCUGCACCCCCACCACUGAAGGCUUCAGGUGCAAAUAUGUAUAAAAUAAACCAUAUUUCUUAAAGGCACUCAUAUCUGCUGUGCCUCAUUUGUGUUUCUUUGAACACAAACCUGGUUAAGUGCCAAGACCCCUGAAAUCUCUUGCUACCUCCUGGCAGAGAUUGGGGUGGCCUGUAAUGCUACAUUUUCCUACUUUGUGAUAUCUACUUCCUACAACUCUGUUCAUAUCUUUUUGGCUUCAUCAGAUCAGAUUGCUAGUAGCUCUCUGUAUGUCUAUAAAUAUUCCCACCACUCGUUUGCAACUUGAAAGAGGAUAAGCAAACAUUCGAAGGCAUAUUUGAAACUUAAAUGCACAUGGGAUGCAUGCUAUUAUUCUCCAUUCCUGGUGUCCUUUUUCUAGAGUCAGAUCCCACAAGCCAUUAUUCAUGUCAGAAAAAGGCUUACAGGAUCAAACCUUUGCAUUGUAAGGCAGGUUAUUUUUGGAUCAAGAGCUUACCUUAGGAGAUUUAAGUUCACAGACUCUGUUGCCGGGGACAUUAAAAGCUUGGAAGAGUCACCAUAUGGGUUUACUGACUUUACACUGGCCAGCCUUGAUCUUCUCUUUGUGCUUCAUCCAAAGGUCAUUAAAGUCAAUGGGGUUUUUCCAUUGAUUUCAAAUAGAUUUCAAUCUAAUCCCAAGCCUCCCCCACCCCUAACCAGAGCUUUAGUGCUUUGGCAGGGGUGGGGUGGGGGGCGGCUUGCCACUAUAGGCGUGUACAAAGCACUGUCCCUUUGUACCCCAACAAUGCCAAGGUAAAGGCAAUGCUUUGUCAGUCGCCACUCUUGCUUUCCCUUUUGCCCAGAAGGGGCUGUCAUUUGAAUCUCUUGGUCCUGAGAGGUUUGCUUAUUCAAAGACAUGAGCGAUUUGCUGUUGUUUUCCGAUUCCUGUAUGAUUUACAGAACAUGGAUUAUUGUGGGCGUGUGGGAGGGGAGAGGCUUCAGUAUGCUACUCGUCUCAUCAGACAUUUGCAGCCUGCAUGUGUUUUGCUCCCCCACCCCCUGCUUCCCAGAUCAAAAGACAGCCAGCUUUGGCAGAACAAAUGCACGAUUAGCGCCCAUGUUGGCAAAUUAAGAGAAGCAGUUUGUGCAGACGGGGAAGGUAAAUUAUGAACAGCAAUGAUGGGAUGGGAGGCAAACAUGAAGACAAUGCCCCUAGAAGAGUGAAAUGGACAGCACUGAGUAGGAAGAGAGAAAGUGUAAGGAUUAUUACAUAGCCCAAGGCCUAGCCAGAUUCUCCAAUCAGCCAUUGGAUUGAUCUUUUGACUCUUCCCUUCCAACCAUCACUGCCCUACGCCUGAGGGUGGCUGACCUACAGGCCAUGGGAUGCAUAAAGCCCCCACAAAAUGUUUUUGGUGGCCUCCUCCAAAUAUGUAAUGUCCACUUCAGCAGCACUGGUUUCAUGUGGCCCCCAGAGUGUUGACCGUGGGCCCAAGUGUCCCCUGGCACUGAAGGGAUUAGCACUACACCUUUUUUUCCUGCUCUUGGUAGUACUAGUAUCCAACUUUUAGGACCUUGUAUUUUUUUAGCACACUCUCCAUGCACAGGGAGUGACUGGGAGAGGAGCACAGUUGUGUUCUCUGGAAGAAAAAGGCCACUUUCUCAUCAUGCAUUUAAAGUCAUGACUUGCCCCAAAGAGUUCUGAGAGCUGUAGUUUGUAAUUGGUGCUGAGAGUUGUUAGGAAGCCCCUCUUCCCCUCUCAGCAUGGACAUAGCCAAUAUUUUUGUUGAGGAGGGGGCGUGUUUGUUUAUUGAUUGGGGCAGGGCAGCUUCAUGGCCUCCCAGAGUGACAGUUUCCAGUGAGGAGGGAUUGAUUGCUAAAUCACUCGUUAGAUUUCUAAGGGAAGCACCCUUAACAAACUACAGCUUCCAGAAUUCUCGAGGGGACCCCAUGACUGCUUAAAGUGGUAUCAUAGUACUUUAAAUGUAUGGUGUGAAUGUGGCCAUUGUGAUUAGGUCAGGUGAUGGUUCAGGAGCUUGCUGGAAGGCAGGACUGUCCUGUCCAGCAAUUUAAUUCACUAAUGUAAGAUGUGUUGUGCAAUAUGCCUGCGUGUUGUUUGCCACCUAGCAAGUGAGCAAUGGAGGGGUUGCCUCUGGCUGCUUAAGGCUUAGUUAAAAACUAGAAUUGUGAUAAUCCACUGCCCACAACUUUUGCAGUGUGUGUGUGUGUGUGUGUGUGCCUUAUCAGAUUGGAUCCACAUGCUCAUACUAGACUAUUGUUUGCUAGAAUGCUUCUGUGAACAGACAUUGACUUGAAGGGUGUAAAGGCCUAUAGAGGAGCCAACAGUAGAGGGUUGUUAGGCUAGUGCAUUUUGAGAGCAGAGGACUUGCUGGGAUGAGGCAGGCCAAGCUCUGAGCUUCUUGUGUGUGAGAAAGGAAGAGGGCGGUCAGCUAGCAGAGCAAGUGGUAAUGAUGGCCCAAGCUACCUAGCAGGAGAGCAUGUUCACAGAAGAGAGUAUGGAAGUUCUGCCAAAGGCCAGCAUAUGCACUGCUACUUCUCCUGCCUACUCCUCCCCAUGAGGUGAGGAAGAGUGGAGCCUCCAUUGAGUCCCUAGUGCUCCCCCUUGUGAAAUCUAGUGGGGCUAAAGGCAGCUCUCACAUCUUGCCAGCUUCCCAAAUUAAUUCAUAUUAAUUUUUUCUGCUCCACCUCUCUCUCCCACCCCCUGCAAAAUAAUUGCAUCUUUAAAUCAUUGGUUGUUUUCACAUUUGCAAAAGGCAGUGACUCCUGCAUUGUCUGAGGUAGGAAAAUCGCUGAAAGGGGCUAAAGGUGAGCCAACUUUGAAAGAGCAAGGUAGAUGCCAUUAGCCACCUUUUCUUUCAAGAUAUUUCUAAGCACUUAGUCUAACACAAAGCAGAGAGAGCCGCUGUGUUUCACAAAGGAACUAAUUUGUUUUCUAGCCUGUUGAAAACCAGGAAAACACGGGAGUCCAUCAAUGCUUCAACCAGCAAGUGAUCUAGUAUGUCUGGAAGUGUCUGCUGCCAGAGCUGUUCCAGUUCCACAGGCC
This 9825-nucleotide long non-coding RNA is filed under the name Podarcis lilfordi (Lilford's wall lizard). Lineage: Eukaryota; Metazoa; Chordata; Lepidosauria; Squamata; Lacertidae. The record is from RNAcentral.